AUGAUCAUCGUUGAACCUGUAAUAUGGGAUGAACUUAUCAAGGAUAAUCCAAGGGUAAAGAAGUUCCGUUCAAAACCAUUCAUGAUCUUCAAGUCAUUGGCUACACUACAUGAAGGAAGUAUUGCUUCAGGAGACUUGAACUUUGUAUCAAUUCCGCAAGUGGAUCUCACAAGCGAUGCCAUUUCUCCUAUGGAUUCCUCUACCAAUGAUUUGAACCAUAUCUCCUCUACCAAUGUUGAUGAUGGUAUGUCCUCAUAUGAUCUACAAGGGCAAGGGGCAUCAAGAAGAGAUGAACCUGAAGCUACAACAUCUACCAACUCUGAACAAAAGGGAGCACUGCCUGUGAAAAAGAGGAAGCAAAGCCAGAUCGCUGUUGUACUUGAGGAUUACAUGGAUUUUCGGAAGAAACAAUCUGCAAAACUGGUUGACGAGUUGAAGGAAUCAAAGCAAGAUGGCAUCUUCUCGAUUGGAAACUGUAUGGCUGCGCUAGAACCAAUGGAAGAUCUAUCAGUUGCAGAAAAAGCAAAGGCACUGCGGCUUUUCAAAUGCCCAAUGAAUCGAGAAAUAUUCAUUAAUACCAAGGACUCAAAUCUUCGGCUUUAUUGGUUGAAGGAGGAGAUUUCUGAGAUGUAA
RNAcentral lists this ribosomal RNA (633 nucleotides) under Triticum aestivum (bread wheat). RNAcentral's name for it is "partial small subunit ribosomal RNA". The record is from RNAcentral. Lineage: Eukaryota; Viridiplantae; Streptophyta; Magnoliopsida; Poales; Poaceae.